Molecule: non-coding RNA, 6192 nt
Organism: Microcebus murinus (gray mouse lemur)
Lineage: Eukaryota; Metazoa; Chordata; Mammalia; Primates; Cheirogaleidae
Source: RefSeq, a predicted model, not a curated record
UCAGACUGCGAGAUGAGGGCCGUGAGGGUGCCUUUGGCUGCAGGUAGCAGCCCCUGCGUCCGGCGGGCUAAGUGAGAUGAGGGGUGCAUCGUCUCACUGCAAGCCCAGAGCAGCUCCUGGUGUCAAGAACGCAGCCUUUUCUCUUCUCGCCGGUCCUCGGCUGGCCCCUCUUACGGCCUCACGACUGCUGUCUCCCUCCUUGAGGUUGAAAGGUGCUGCCAGUGGCAAUGGGGGCGCCUGCUCGCUUGUGAAUGUCCCGCAGGAGACAGCAAGGACCUCUCUCCCAGCGGGGAUGGAAUGCCACGUGCUGAUUGGCUUAGAUUAAUCGGGAUCUAGUGCUAAACCUGCGAGCGGGGAGAACAUCCAAACGGAACUGGGCUUCUAUGAAGAAGGGAGAGAAGACUAGAUGCUGGGCGGGCAGCCACCGCGUGCACACGGUGCUGAGCCUGCGACCCCCUCAGCCUACAGACGCCUGCACAGCCUGGGGUCGGCAGGACAGGCCUCACCUCCAGACCACCAGCGAGGACUCUGAGGAACAAAGAAGUGGAGUGAGUCACGUGACUCACAUAGCAGGUGAGGAAAUCGAGAUUCAGAUGUGGAAAGAGACUAACCCAAGGUAAGGGAUGGAGCCAGGACCUUAACCCAGGUCUUCAGACUCCGAACCUCCCACCCGGGGAGCUUCACAAGCAGCACAGCCCAAGUGUGAGAAAGCCCCUGGAUCCGAGGUGCGGUGGCAGGGCCUGCCGGGGUGGGGGUGGGGCGGUGCUUGCUGCAGAGUAAAAUAUGCGAGGAGACCAGAGGAUGGGAGGCAGUGCUGCGUGCCCAUGUGGCAGGCACGUAGGCAGCUGUCAUCACCCCACUCUACAGAUGAGGAAAUGGGGCUCCACACGGUGUUGUCCUUUCGCCCCCAGACCCGUGCUGCUCUGUGCCUGGGAGGCUGCCUCCUGCCCAUGCCUCCCUUGCCGUUAGGUUUGGCCAGGGGGCACUGCGGCAGGCAGUCAGCGAGAGGCAGAGAGGGGUGGGAGCAUCCCCUGCUCCUCCCUGCCUGGCCCUGGUCUGGCAGCUGCCACGUGCUGAGGUCACAGGUCGGGUGGCCCCAGCACCAGCCUGGCUCUCCCUGCAGGCCUAGGGGUGCUAAGAGCUCCCGCUGUUGCUGGUGUCUGGGCGCUGCCCCACCCCGGGUCGAUGCCCACUCCUGCCCACAGCUGCAUAGUCCUCUAAGUCAGUCCCUGAGUGACCCCCGUCUGCUGCUGGAGUCCUGCCGCUGCAGGCACCGCGGCUGGGACUCUGAGCCCCACCUUUCCUGGCCUCCCUGCCUGGCUCCCUGUCCUUAGUAGGCAGCCUCACCCCCACCCCAUCCACAGCCGCCUGAGAUAGGGCAGAGACUUGGCUAAAGCUGCUUCCCCUUGAGCCUCCGGAAUUGUUUUGGGGCCUUGGGGCCGUUGCUGCUGUGGAGACAAUGAGAGGGAGGUUUCCGAGGGCUGGCACUGCGUCCCUGCCAGGGCCCCCACCUCCUGGGACAGGCUGGGGUCUGCAAACCAGAGUGUCCUGCUGGGGGUCUGGCCCGGGCUUGUCUGCCUCCCGCCCCGAGGCUGGGGCUGAGGAAGGUGCUGGAGACCAGGGAGGAGGAGAGGCAGAGGCCCCUCCUGCUGGGCUGCAGGACCCAUGGGGCCACCUGACACAAGCCUUCUGGCUCGGCAGCAGCAACAGGGCAGGAGGGAGGGGCACGACCGACCGGGGUCACAGGUGGAAGCCCCACCCUCCACCGGGCAGCCAGAGUGCCUUCAAGAAAUGCGGAUCUAAGCCUUUCUCUUUUGUGCUUACGUGGAGCCCAAACUGCAUGAUGAGCCCCAGGUCUCCCGCCCCAACUGCACCUCUAAAGCAAACCCUGUGUGCUCAAUCCAUCGGCCUUUGCUGCUUCUCCACGCACAGCUCCCUGCAGCGGGCGAUUUCCAAACGGCCCCUCCGGCACCGCCACUCUCUUGGUUUGGGCUCCUCUAAAAGCCGAGUGUGAGAUACACGGCUUUGCUGUCGGACUUCCUGAGUUCAAACCCACUUUUACUGCUGUGGGACCUCGAGCAGGUCACAGCGCCCUUGAGCUACAGUGUCCUCAGCUAUAACAUAGGAACGACAAUAUCUACCAUGUAAGGUGUUUAUGAGGAUCAAAUGUACACCCAGAAGGGAACGCAUAUGCCAGCCUGAUGCUGGACGCAGUUAGCUGUGUCCCUCGCGAUGCCGGCUGCCCCCCCCUCCAGGCCCCGCUGCCCUGGUUUCGCUUAUGCUACCCAGCAGCCUGGCCCGCUGUGGGCAACGCGGGUGUGCCCUGUCCCCGCACACCAGCAGCCCCUCCCCCACUGCGCUGCACAGAGUGGAGACAGACUUUGUGGAAACACAAAGGGAAGAGCUGACAUCGCAUACCACACAGCAGAACUUGUGCUUCGAAAUUCCCAUGGGCUGCUUCUGUCUCCCCAAAUCGCUCUCCUGACCCAGCUGCCUUUCUCACGCGGGCCAGCCGAGCUGCAGCCCAGCCCCCGCUUCACUCCUCCACGCGUAUCCCCGGCCUUGCCUUCUGUGCUCUCCCCACCUGCUACGGUUGAGUUUGGUCCCUCCAAAAUUUAUCUGUUGAAGUCCCAACCCUCAGCACCUCUGAAUGUGAUCUUGCUUAGAAAUAGGGUUGUUGCAGAUGCUAAUGAGUCAAGAUGAGGCUAUACCAAAGGAGGGCGGGCCCUAAUCCAAAUGACAGGGGUCCUUAUGCAAAGGGAGAAACUGGGGCACAGAGACAGACGUGCACACAGGGAGAGCACCACGUGAGGACCGGAGUUCCGCUGUCACAAGCCAAGGAACUACCAGGAGCCAGGACAGAGGCUGCAGCGGGUCCCCCUCGCGCCCGCUGAGGGAGCAUGGCCCACUGACACCUUGAUCUUGGACUUCCAUCCUCCAGAACCUCGAGGCAGUCAGUUUCUGUUGUGUGAGGCACCCAGUUUGUGGGCUUGUUACCACAGCCCUAGCAAACUAAUACGUUACCUAAAGGGGCCAGGUUCGUUCUUCUGCUACAAAUAUCUUCUCCUGUCCUUGUCUUCUAACCCAGCCUUGGUUGCUGCGUUAUGUGUCUGUAUUUCUCUACUCUCUGGACUGUGAACUCCUUGGAGGCAGAGCCCGUGUCAUUCUCCCUGUUGUAUCUUCAGGGCCAUGGGAGUCACUCAGGACAGGUUUGCUGGAGACUUCCUGAAUGAGUUCGCUUUGAGGCUCGCCCUGCAAGGGUGGGCCAGAUCUGGACAGGCAACUCCGCCAAGCGAAGGCAUUCCAGGUUCCAGACGUGAGCAAAGGUGCAGAAUGUGGCAGGGAAGAGCAGGCUGGGAAAGGUUAAGUGGCUUGCAGUCGGCUGGGGUGUAGACACUGGUAGUGGGGAGAGGUAGGGAGGGCCCAGACGGUGGGGAAAUGUGAUGCCAGGGUACAGGGAUUUGAGAAUGCGUUGAGUUGGGUAGGCAGUGGGCUGUGGGGAGACACGGAAAGGACAAUAGCAGGGCUCUGGGAAGAAGGUUGCUCGGCUGCAGAAUAGACCAAACAUGGGGACACUGGGGAGGUCUCUGCUGGGGCCACAGUUCCGGUGAGAGAUGACGAAGGCUUGAGUCCCGUUGGGUUUGAGGAUGGAGACAAGAUAAGAGACAUUUAAGAAGAAAUGCCAGCCUGAUGACUGACGUGGAGGUAUUUUCCCCUUUGAGGUUCCUGCCUCCAAGCUCCUCCUCCUUCUAAAGAUGCCACGCUGAGAAUUUUCAUCCUGUCUGCAGUGACAUAUAGAUCACCCCACCCCCCUUCCCUCUCUGACAGCUGACAGUUUUGGUGAGAGAGCAAAGGAACCAGCUGCCCCACCCCAGCCUGCUGAGGUUUCUGGUUCACAAUUUGCAAUGUCAAUUCAUGGAAGCAGGUGAUUUUUCACCUUUUUAAAUAUUAAUUUUUCAUUCUCACUCAUGGAUAAUAUGAGUUAACUGUAUAAAAAAAUCUGAAAAUACAGUGGCAUUGGAUCUUCAGGGGAAAAUUGCGUAUAGUAAAAAGUGGCCCUUGAUAAUCCCUUAUGUAGAAUGACCUGGAAUAUUAGAAAUUCAAAAGACAAAGAUUACAUUGUUUAAUUUUCUUUACGUUUUGACUGUGACCUCCUUUUCCCUGGAACAUCGAAGGUCAACAUCUAUUUGGAAGUGGGGCGAGAUGACAGGGUUUGGAGGUGGGGCAUGGCUGAAUCAAAUGCUUGUUGGGUGUGAGUCCACUAUCCGGAUAAAUCAAAGGAGAAAAUAUAAAUCACCUGAAAUCUUUCUCCCACUCUUAUUUUUUGGUGAAUAUCAUCAAUCCAGUCUUUUUAAUUUAUUUUUUCUAAUGCAUGUUAAAAGCUAGACUCAGUGGGCAGACUCAUGUAAUAGCUUUAUUUUUCUGAGAACAGUAUCUUUCUCUCUGGCUUUCCUCUCCUUCCUCCCUAAUGAUGUUAUCUUGAGCAGAUCUUACUGCUUGGUGUGUGUGUGUGUGUGUGUGUGUGUGUGUGUGUGUGUGUGUGUAUGUGUUGGGGAGAGUAUGUCAGAUAUCAAUGAAGAGUCUUAUUUUCAAUUGUUUAAAACAAGAGUCUGCCAAAUAAAGUGUCCUUGGGAGCCCCAGUUUAUAGCCAGUCCGUCAGAAGCACAGCUCAUUAUCUAGGCCUUGGGACUGAUGUCUGAAGUGGGGGCAGUCUUGUGGGACUGAGUCCUCAACCUGUGGGAUAUGUCACUGUCUCCAGGCAGGUACUGUCAAAAUAGAACUGAAUCAUCGGAUUCCCAGCUGGUGCCCGAUGGAAAAAGAAUUUAUUGUUGGCACAAAGCCAAGCUUUUGAUGGUUUUCUGUGGGCCUCCCUCCCUGGGGUGGGAAGGGCCCUUAUCCUGCACCAAGGCUUGGUGAUAGGCAGUGGACUCUGGUCCUUGGGGUUUAGGCUGAGCAGUGCUGUCUUGGCAUCCUGUGCCUUCUGCUCUGAGGCUACUGCCGUGCCCAUGGCUGCUGUAGAGACAGGAGCAGUGCUGGGCACUGAUGGGUCACAGUGUUUACAUCAUGAUUGUCCAGCAAACUGUCAUCAGGUGCCCAAGUUUUACAGCUCAACAGCAUGAUUUUGUCAUAUUCUAACAUGCAAAUGAGUUGCCUACACAUUACGUACCCUUUAGGUUUUAGCAGUAAUUUGCUUUUGUACCUAAAUGCAGGCACGUGCCACCUGACAUCCACAGUCAGCUUCUGCUGGGUCAGAAGCUGUAACACGUUUGAUAUUGUCAUUGUCAUUUGUUCACUACAGCGCUUCCAGGAAAAACAAUUCCACGUAAUCUAUGCUUUAAUUUUUUUAAAGAGUGCUUUUAACCCUCAAAAAGAAAAAUCAGCUUGUUUUGCAUAUAAGAACUGUUUUUUUAAUACUAAUAAAUCAAGCACUACCCAUGGGAAAAACAAAAAGAAUGUGUUGUUGGUGGGAAAAGAUCCCCACAUACUUUGGUAACCAGAGGUGAAGAAUUCCGUCGUAAGCGGGAGGGCAGGAAAAACACUUUGGUUUUUCUUAUCUCUUAUGGAGUGGGAUUCCCACCAAAACAGCUGAAGCCAACAGAUGAAACAUUAGACAAACCCAAAUUAAAAAACAAUCUCCAAAAUAAUUGGCCCAGACUCAUCAAAAGCAUCAAUGUCAUAAAAGACUGAAGAAUUAUUUUAGACUAAAGGAGAUUAAAGAGACAUGGCAACCAAAUGAAAUACAUGAUCCUAGAUCAGACCUUGGAUAUGAGGGGAACAUUGCUAUAAAAGAUGCUAUUAGGGGCACUUAGUGAAAUGUGGAUCUGGCCUCAGGAUUGGAUAAUAGCAUUAUGUCAAUGUCAAAUUUCAUGAAUUUGAUAAGUAGCGUGGUCAUGUAAGACCACAUAUCUUUUUUCUUAGGAAAUACAUGUUAAAAUAUUGGAGGUAAUGAUGUAUGCAACUUACUCUCAGAUGGUUAAGGAAAACCAGGUGUACAUAUAUAGAGAGAGCUAGAAAGUGACAAAGCAAAAUUGACAAUUGCUAACAGUUGGGAAGGUGGGUGAAGGGUAUAUGGGAGCUCUUUGUACCAUCCCUGCGAUUCUUCUGCAAGCUUGAAAUUAUUUCAAAACUAAAAGUUAAAAAAAAUCCAGGCCAAUCCAAAUCAGAACUUCAGUCUCUAGGAUAAAAUAUUUG